This 480-nucleotide ribosomal RNA is filed under the name uncultured bacterium. RNAcentral describes it as "partial 16S ribosomal RNA". It matches the Rfam family "Bacterial small subunit ribosomal RNA", at positions 28 to 523 of the family's 1533-position model. The record is from RNAcentral.
AAUGAACGUUGGCGGCGUGGAUUAGGCAUGCAAGUCGAGCGCGAACCCCGCAAGGGGUGAAAGCGGCGAAAGGGAGAGUAACGCGUGGGUAUCUGCCCUCGGGACUGGGAUAGCUGCGGGAAACUGCAGGUAAUACCAGAUGACGUCCCCGGACCAAAGGUGUGAUUCCGCCUGAGGAUGAGCCCGCGUCCUAUUAGCUAGUUGGUAGGGUAAUGGCCUACCAAGGCAAUGAUGGGUACUGGGUGUGAGAGCACGACCCAGCUCACUGGGACUGAGACACUGCCCAGACACCUACGGGUGGCUGCAGUCGAGAAUCUUCGGCAAUGGGCGAAAGCCUGACCGAGCGACGCCGCGUGUGGGAUGAAGGCCUUCGGGUUGUAAACCGCUGUCAGAGGGGAGGAAUGGGCGGAGGGUAAUCUCUUCGUUUUGACCUAUCCUCAGAGGAAGUACGGGCUAAGUUCGUGCCAGCCGCCGCCGUAA